Molecule: ribosomal RNA, 801 nt
Filed under: Arthrobacter sp. NBIHP5
Lineage: Bacteria; Bacillati; Actinomycetota; Actinomycetes; Micrococcales; Micrococcaceae
Description: bacterial SSU rRNA
Rfam family: Bacterial small subunit ribosomal RNA
Source: RNAcentral
GCGCGGAUCCCUNCUAAUUACGGCCAGCCGUUUUNUGACUUCUGUGCUUGCACUACAAUGAUUNUUGGCGAACGGGUGAGUAACACGUGAGUAACCUGCCCUUGACUUCGGGAUAAGCCUGGNUNACCGGGUCUAAUACCGGAUACGACCUCCUGGCGCAUGCCAUGGGGGUGGAAAGCUUUAUGCGGUUUUGGAUGGACUCGCGGCCUAUCAGCUUGUUGGUUGGGGUAAUGGCCCACCAAGGCGACGACGGGUAGCCGGCCUGAGAGGGUGACCGGCCACACUGGGACUGAGACACGGCCCAGACUCCUACGGGAGGCAGCAGUGGGGAAUAUUGCACAAUGGGCGGAAGCCUGAUGCAGCGACGCCGCGUGAGGGAUGACGGCCUUCGGGUUGUAAACCUCUUUCAGCAGGGAAGAAGCGAAAGUGACGGUACCUGCAGAAGAAGCGCCGGCUAACUACGUGCCAGCAGCCGCGGUAAUACGUAGGGCGCAAGCGUUAUCCGGAAUUAUUGGGCGUAAAGAGCUCGUAGGCGGUUUGUCGCGUCUGCUGUGAAAGCCCGGGGCUCACCCCGGGUCUGCAGUGGGUACGGGCAGACUAGAGUGCAGUAGGGGAGACUGGAAUUCCUGGUGUAGCGGUGAAAUGCGCAAAUAUCAGGAGGAACACCGAUGGCGAAGGCCGGNNCUCUGGGGCCUGUNACUGNCGCUGAGGAGCGAAAGCUUGGGGGAGCGAACAGGGAUAAGANCCCNUGGUAGUCCAUGCCNANAACNUUGGGCCANUAGGUGNGGGGGAACUUCCCCU